GGGUCAGUAGGUUGGUCGUGCCACCGGUACGUACUGGUCUCACUGAUUCCUCCUUCCUGAAGAACCGUAAUGCCAUUAAUUUGGUGUUGCGGGGAAACAGGACUGUUACUUUGAAAAAAUUAGAGUGUUUAAAGCAAGCUAACGCUUGAAUACAUUAGCAUGGAAUAAUGAAACAGGACGACCGAUCCUAUUUUGUUGGUUUCUAGGAUUGACGUA
RNAcentral lists this ribosomal RNA (216 nucleotides) under Glomeromycotina sp. RNAcentral describes it as "partial small subunit ribosomal RNA". The stretch from base 44 to 216 matches the Rfam family "Eukaryotic small subunit ribosomal RNA", at positions 690 to 864 of the family's 1831-position model. The record is from RNAcentral. Lineage: Eukaryota; Fungi; Glomeromycota.